Molecule: ribosomal RNA, 484 nt
Filed under: uncultured bacterium
Lineage: Bacteria
Description: partial 16S ribosomal RNA
Rfam family: Bacterial small subunit ribosomal RNA
Source: RNAcentral
AUUGAACGCUGGCGGCAGGCCUAACACAUGCAAGUCGAGCGGAUGAAGGUAGCUUGCUCCUGGAUUCAGCGGCGGACGGGUGAGUAAUGCCUAGGAAUCUGCCUGGUAGUGGGGGAUAACGUCCGGAAACGGGCGCUAAUACCGCAUACGUCCUGAGGGAGAAAGUGGGGGAUCUUCGGACCUCACGCUAUCAGAUGAUCCUAGGUCGGAUUAGCUAGUUGGUGGGGUAAAGGCCUACCAAGGCGACGAUCCGUAACUGGUCUGAGAGGAUGAUCAGUCACACGGGAACUGAGACACGGUCCAGACUCCUACGGGAGGCAGCAGUGGGGAAUAUUGGACAAUGGGCGAAAGCCUGAUCCAGCCAUGCCGCGUGUGUGAAGAAGGUCUUCGGAUUGUAAAGCACUUUAAGUUGGGAGGAAGGGCAGUAAGUUAAUACCUUGCUGUUUUGACGUUACCAACAGAAUAAGCACCGGCUAACUUCGUG